RNAcentral lists this long non-coding RNA (613 nucleotides) under Homo sapiens (human). RNAcentral describes it as "non-protein coding lnc-RPL24-2:7". Lineage: Eukaryota; Metazoa; Chordata; Mammalia; Primates; Hominidae. The record is from RNAcentral.
ACACUCUUUGUCCUUAUCUACCCAGCCACAGCUUCCAGUGCAAGUGUCCUUGUGCCCUGGUGCCUGAUAUCCAGCUCCGGCAGCCUAGAAAAUCAGUUAGGCUUUUCAGUCACAGCACCCUCUGUGACAAACGUGUGGAGCACCGCACGACUUCUUCAACCAGCUGGUUUUUCUGGCAUUCGAAUAAAAGUAAAAAUAGAAAACAAAGAGGGAGAAGAAAAGUGACAAGCUGAAACCUGCGAAGAGAAAGAGGACAAGAAAUGAACAAGUUGAUCUGGUCUUGAGGGAGGAGGAGGCACAGGAACACAGUAAAGGAACCUAUCUGAGGAGCUGCAGACAUGAACCAACAAAGCCAGAAGAGCCUGAAGCAAUACUGCAAGUGGGUGCUUUGGUACUGCUUUGAAGCAUCUUUCCAGACUCUGCAGUAGCCAAGGCCUGUGACUCCAGUCCCUGAGAAAGUACCAUCAGGAGCAAUACGUAAGCUUUUCAGGGACAAAGAACCUUGUCCUCUUAAUCUGGAUUCACAAUUCACAAUUAUACCCCUAGCCUGCCCAACGCCUUUUUCUCAGUCUCUGAGAAGUAUUGACUCUCUUUUACCUAAGAGCAGGAGUCU